This is a long non-coding RNA of Dermacentor albipictus, 802 nucleotides long. RefSeq lists it as uncharacterized. Lineage: Eukaryota; Metazoa; Arthropoda; Arachnida; Ixodida; Ixodidae. The record is from RefSeq and is a predicted model, not a curated record.
AUUAGCAGCGCAUGCUUACGAAGCGCUUCUGGCCGCUUGAGCCGGAGCAGCGGUCUGACUUUUUCGUGUGCGCUGGAACAGUGUAUACGCUCGUCCUCGUCGCCGCUCAAACGAGCUAUCUGCAGCAUCACUGAGCAUGACGGGGUGCCCCGCACCGGGGUCGCACGAAUCGCAACGAAAGCGGCAGAGCAGUGGCAUGGUUCGCAAAAGUUUUCAAGGGCGCCAGAAAUUUCGGCGCUUCAACUGCAUGGACUGGCAGAAAAUGGCCCACUAAGGUUCACUGAACAAGUUGGACGAGGCUCAUGGAUUCACGGACAGUGCGGCAGGAGUGCGCAAGAACAAAGUACAAUGAAGACCUCACUCUAGUAACAGGCUCAUGGAUUCACGGACAGUGUGGCAGGAGUGCGCAAGAACAACGUACAAUGAAGACCUCAUUCCGGUAACAGAUUCAAUCUGCCAUGUUCAAGUAACGUCAGGUAUAUGUGUGUCUGCCUUUUCUUAUUGACAAAGACACCCACCCACUUCGAGGAUACUGUAUCUGCAGGCAUGGAGCUGCGGGCACUUGCAAACGCUGUACUGCUGUGGCAUAACACAUUACAAGAUAUGAAGAUGUACAGAGCUGGGAACAACCAUCAAAAGUGCAACGCCUUGAUGACAAAGCGUCGAUUGAGGAGGUCUUUGGCAAGGCCGAGAGCAGCCGCGCCAGCUUCGGGAGCGCGGUUGCUAUGGCAACGCUGACGUUUGGGGUACCAGUGCCUGCGCUCCUUUGCGAAAAGCAGCACGUGACUUCCGCCACACUUUC